UACGUAGGGUGCAAGCGUUAAUCGGAAUUGCUGGGCGUAAAGCGUGCGCAGGCGGUCUUGCAAGACAGAUGUGAAAUCCCCGGGCUUAACCUGGGAACUGCAUUUGUGACUGCACGGCUAGAGUGUGUCAGAGGGGGGUAGAAUUCCACGUGUAGCAGUGAAAUGCGUAGAUAUGUGGAGGAACACCGAUGGCGAAGGCAGCCCCCUGAGAUAACACUGACGCUCAUGCACGAAAGCGUGGGGAGCAAGCAGG
RNAcentral lists this ribosomal RNA (253 nucleotides) under uncultured bacterium. Its description in RNAcentral is "partial 16S ribosomal RNA". It matches the Rfam family "Bacterial small subunit ribosomal RNA", at positions 524 to 776 of the family's 1533-position model. The record is from RNAcentral.